Molecule: ribosomal RNA, 253 nt
Filed under: uncultured bacterium
Lineage: Bacteria
Description: partial 16S ribosomal RNA
Rfam family: Bacterial small subunit ribosomal RNA
Source: RNAcentral
UACAGAGGUCCCAAGCGUUGUUCGGAUUCACUGGGCGUAAAGGGCUCGUAGGCGGCCAACUAAGUCAUACGUGAAAUCCCUCGGCUUAACCGGGGAACUGCGUCUGAUACUGGAUGGCUUGAGUUCGGGAGAGGGAUGCGGAAUUCCAGGUGUAGCGGUGAAAUGCGUAGAUAUCUGGAGGAACACCGGUGGCGAAGGCGGCAUCCUGGACCGAUACUGACGCUGAGGAGCGAAAGCCAGGGGAGCAAACGGG